Molecule: unclassified non-coding RNA, 284 nt
Filed under: plant metagenome
Description: partial contains small subunit ribosomal RNA, internal transcribed spacer 1, and 5.8S ribosomal RNA
Rfam family: Eukaryotic small subunit ribosomal RNA (bases 1-53)
Source: RNAcentral
GGAAGUAAAAGUCGAACAAGGUUUCCGUAGGUGAAUCUGCGGAAGGAUCAUUAUUGUAUAACCGAGGUGCGAGGGCUGUCGCUGACCCGAAAGGUCGUGCACGCCCGAGUGCCCUCACACACAUCCAUCUCACCCCUAUGUGCACCACCGCGUGGGUCCCCCUUUGGCUUGUUCGGAGGGGGGCUUACGUUUUCACACAAACUUUGUAUGCAGUGUAGAAUGUAUUUUUUGUUUUUGCGAUCACGCAAUCAUUACAACUUUCAACAACGGAUCUCUUGGCUCUC